Molecule: long non-coding RNA, 208 nt
Filed under: Elaeis guineensis (African oil palm)
Lineage: Eukaryota; Viridiplantae; Streptophyta; Magnoliopsida; Arecales; Arecaceae
Description: long non-coding RNA (EGUI_LNC041390)
Source: RNAcentral
CCUAUAUGGUCAUAUCUAGAUAAUACUAUCCUUGUGGAUAGCACAAUAAGGCAGCAUUACCAAAUAUGCCAUAAGCAUCACUAGGUUGACAUCAUAGCAAUCACUAUAGCAAGCCUUGUAGAUAGCACAAUAAACUUACUACAGUUUUUGAUAUACUCUAUUGACUUAGUAUGAGCUAAAUACCAUUAACUUCAUUAUGCACCAAGAC